Molecule: ribosomal RNA, 256 nt
Filed under: Streptomyces sp. ISOM521_OTU1134
Lineage: Bacteria; Bacillati; Actinomycetota; Actinomycetes; Kitasatosporales; Streptomycetaceae
Description: partial 16S ribosomal RNA
Rfam family: Bacterial small subunit ribosomal RNA
Source: RNAcentral
ACGAACGCUGGCGGCGUGCUUAACACAUGCAAGUCGAACGAUGAAGCCCUUCGGGGUGGAUUAGUGGCGAACGGGUGAGUAACACGUGGGCAAUCUGCCCUGCACUCUGGGACAAGCCCUGGAAACGGGGUCUAAUACCGGAUNACACCCCCUCUCGCAUGGGAGGGGGUUGAAAGCUCCGGCGGUGCAGGAUGAGCCCGCGGCCUAUCAGCUUGUUGGUGAGGUAGAAGCUCACCAAGGCGACGACGGGUAGCCG